ACUUUAUUAAUACUCGACUGUUCAAGACAUUCAACGAAUGUCCGACCCAGUAGUUGAAAAAAAUGAUUGCGAGUCACAAAAGUACGUCAGCUGGAGUAUUUUCUGUCCUUGGGAUGUGAAAGAUUUCAAAAUAUUUUAAGGUUGACAUAAGAUCUUUCACCUUCUGAAGAUACUUCAUCAUAAUAGGGUCUCAUGCUUCAAAUUCACCCUUGACUUGUUCAGCAAU
Molecule: long non-coding RNA, 226 nt
Filed under: Elaeis guineensis (African oil palm)
Lineage: Eukaryota; Viridiplantae; Streptophyta; Magnoliopsida; Arecales; Arecaceae
Description: long non-coding RNA (EGUI_LNC062188)
Source: RNAcentral